Molecule: small nucleolar RNA, 99 nt
Filed under: Cavia porcellus (domestic guinea pig)
Lineage: Eukaryota; Metazoa; Chordata; Mammalia; Rodentia; Caviidae
Description: Small nucleolar RNA SNORA28 (ENSCPOG00000029453.2)
Source: RNAcentral
AAUUAGAACCUACUGGUUAAGCUUGCCACAGCAAGGAAUUCUAAAAUAUUCUAGCACUCUCACAUCUAUGAGUUGGGCCAUUACACAGAUUUAAGCAGU